This 459-nucleotide ribosomal RNA is filed under the name uncultured bacterium. RNAcentral's name for it is "partial 16S ribosomal RNA". It matches the Rfam family "Bacterial small subunit ribosomal RNA", at positions 338 to 795 of the family's 1533-position model. The record is from RNAcentral.
CCUACGGGAGGCAGCAGUGAGGAAUAUUGGUCAAUGGUCGGGAGACUGAACCAGCCAAGCCGCGUGAGGGAUGAAGGUACAGAGUAUCGUAAACCUCUUUUGUCAGGGAACAAAGGCGGGGACGUGUCCCCGGCUGAGUGUACCUGAAGAAAAAGCAUCGGCUAACUCCGUGCCAGCAGCCGCGGUAAUACGGAGGAUGCGGGCGUUAUCCGGAUUUAUUGGGUUUAAAGGGUGCGCAGGCGGUCUGUUAAGUCAGCGGUCAAAGCCCGGGGCUCAACCCCGGCCCGCCGUUGAAACUGGCAGUCUCGAGUUGGAGAGAAGUAUGCGGAAUGCGCGGUGUAGCGGUGAAAUGCAUAGAUAUCGCGCAGAACUCCGAUUGCGAAGGCAGCAUGCCGGCUCCACACUGACGCUGAGGCACGAAAGCGUGGGUAUCGAACAGGAUUAGAUACCCCUGUAGUC